UACGUAGGGUGCGAGCGUUGUCCGGAAUUAUUGGGCGUAAAGAGCUCGUAGGCGGUGUGUCGCGUCGGCCGUGAAAACCUGGGGCUCAACUCUGGGCGUGCGGUCGAUACGGGCAUCACUGGAGUUCGGCAGGGGAGACUGGAAUUCCUGGUGUAGCGGUGAAAUGCGCAGAUAUCAGGAGGAACACCGAUGGCGAAGGCAGGUCUCUGGGCCAUAACUGACGCUGAGAAGCGAAAGCAUGGGGAGCGAACAGGA
Molecule: ribosomal RNA, 255 nt
Filed under: uncultured bacterium
Lineage: Bacteria
Description: partial 16S ribosomal RNA
Rfam family: Bacterial small subunit ribosomal RNA
Source: RNAcentral